AGAGUUUGAUCCUGGCUCAGAGUGAACGCUGGCGGCAGGCCUAACACAUGCAAGUCGAACGGCAGCACAGCAGUAGCAAUACUGUGGGUGGCGAGUGGCGGACGGGUGAGGAAUGCGUCGGAAUCUGCCUUUUUGUGGGGGAUAACGUAGGGAAACUUACGCUAAUACCGCAUACGACCUACGGGUGAAAGUGGGGGACCUUCGGGCCUCACGCAGAAAGAUGAGCCGACGCCGGAUUAGCUAGUUGGCGGGGUAAAGGCCCACCAAGGCGACGAUCCGUAGCUGGUCUGAGAGGAUGAUCAGCCACACUGGGACUGAGACACGGCCCAGACUCCUACGGGAGGCAGCAGUGGGGAAUAUUGGACAAUGGGCGCAAGCCUGAUCCAGCCAUGCCGCGUGUGUGAAGAAGGCCUUCGGGUUGUAAAGCACUUUUGUCCGGAAAGAAAAGCUUCGGGUUAAUAACCUGGAGUCAUGACGGUACCGG
RNAcentral lists this ribosomal RNA (484 nucleotides) under uncultured bacterium. RNAcentral's name for it is "bacterial SSU rRNA". It matches the Rfam family "Bacterial small subunit ribosomal RNA", at positions 8 to 481 of the family's 1533-position model. The record is from RNAcentral.